This 2923-nucleotide ribosomal RNA is filed under the name Klebsiella pneumoniae. RNAcentral's name for it is "bacterial LSU rRNA". It matches the Rfam family "Bacterial large subunit ribosomal RNA". Lineage: Bacteria; Pseudomonadati; Pseudomonadota; Gammaproteobacteria; Enterobacterales; Enterobacteriaceae. The record is from RNAcentral.
GGGUUGUGAGGUUAAGCGACUAAGCGUACACGGUGGAUGCCCUGGCAGUCAGAGGCGAUGAAGGACGUGCUAAUCUGCGAAAAGCGUCGGUAAGGUGAUAUGAACCGUUAUAACCGGCGAUGUCCGAAUGGGGAAACCCAGUGCAAUUCGUUGCACUAUCGUUAACUGAAUACAUAGGUUAACGAGGCGAACCGGGGGAACUGAAACAUCUAAGUACCCCGAGGAAAAGAAAUCAACCGAGAUUCCCCCAGUAGCGGCGAGCGAACGGGGAGCAGCCCAGAGUCUGAAUCAGCUUGUGUGUUAGUGGAACGGUCUGGAAAGUCCGACGGUACAGGGUGAUAGUCCCGUACACCAAAAUGCACAGGUUGUGAACUCGAAGAGUAGGGCGGGACACGUGGUAUCCUGUCUGAAUAUGGGGGGACCAUCCUCCAAGGCUAAAUACUCCUGACUGACCGAUAGUGAACCAGUACCGUGAGGGAAAGGCGAAAAGAACCCCGGCGAGGGGAGUGAAAAAGAACCUGAAACCGUGUACGUACAAGCAGUGGGAGCACCUUCGGGUGUGACUGCGUACCUUUUGUAUAAUGGGUCAGCGACUUAUAUUCUGUAGCAAGGUUAACCGUAUAGGGGAGCCGCAGGGAAACCGAGUCUUAACUGGGCGUUAAGUUGCAGGGUAUAGACCCGAAACCCGGUGAUCUAGCCAUGGGCAGGUUGAAGGUUGGGUAACACUAACUGGAGGACCGAACCGACUAAUGUUGAAAAAUUAGCGGAUGACUUGUGGCUGGGGGUGAAAGGCCAAUCAAACCGGGAGAUAGCUGGUUCUCCCCGAAAGCUAUUUAGGUAGCGCCUCGUGAAUUCAUCUUCGGGGGUAGAGCACUGUUUCGGCUAGGGGGUCAUCCCGACUUACCAACCCGAUGCAAACUACGAAUACCGAAGAAUGUUAUCACGGGAGACACACGGCGGGUGCUAACGUCCGUCGUGAAGAGGGAAACAACCCAGACCGCCAGCUAAGGUCCCAAAGUCAUGGUUAAGUGGGAAACGAUGUGGGAAGGCACAGACAGCCAGGAUGUUGGCUUAGAAGCAGCCAUCAUUUAAAGAAAGCGUAAUAGCUCACUGGUCGAGUCGGCCUGCGCGGAAGAUGUAACGGGGCUAAACCAUGCACCGAAGCUGCGGCAGCGACACUAUGUGUUGUUGGGUAGGGGAGCGUUCUGUAAGCCUGCGAAGGUGUGCUGUGAGGCAUGCUGGAGGUAUCAGAAGUGCGAAUGCUGACAUAAGUAACGAUAAAGCGGGUGAAAAGCCCGCUCGCCGGAAGACCAAGGGUUCCUGUCCAACGUUAAUCGGGGCAGGGUGAGUCGACCCCUAAGGCGAGGCCGAAAGGCGUAGUCGAUGGGAAACAGGUUAAUAUUCCUGUACUUGGUGUUACUGCGAAGGGGGGACGGAGAAGGCUAUGUUAGCCGGGCGACGGUUGUCCCGGUUUAAGCAUGUAGGCUGGUUGUCCAGGCAAAUCCGGAUAAUCAAGGCUGAGGUGUGAUGACGAGGCACUACGGUGCUGAAGUAACAAAUGCCCUGCUUCCAGGAAAAGCCUCUAAGCAUCAGGUAACAUCAAAUCGUACCCCAAACCGACACAGGUGGUCAGGUAGAGAAUACCAAGGCGCUUGAGAGAACUCGGGUGAAGGAACUAGGCAAAAUGGUGCCGUAACUUCGGGAGAAGGCACGCUGGUGUGUAGGUGAAGCCCCUGCGGGUGGAGCUGAGACCAGUCGAAGAUACCAGCUGGCUGCAACUGUUUAUUAAAAACACAGCACUGUGCAAACACGAAAGUGGACGUAUACGGUGUGACGCCUGCCCGGUGCCGGAAGGUUAAUUGAUGGGGUUAUCCGUAAGGAGAAGCUCUUGAUCGAAGCCCCGGUAAACGGCGGCCGUAACUAUAACGGUCCUAAGGUAGCGAAAUUCCUUGUCGGGUAAGUUCCGACCUGCACGAAUGGCGUAAUGAUGGCCAGGCUGUCUCCACCCGAGACUCAGUGAAAUUGAACUCGCUGUGAAGAUGCAGUGUACCCGCGGCAAGACGGAAAGACCCCGUGAACCUUUACUAUAGCUUGACACUGAACAUUGAGCCUUGAUGUGUAGGAUAGGUGGGAGGCUUUGAAGCGUGGACGCCAGUCUGCGUGGAGCCAACCUUGAAAUACCACCCUUUAAUGUUUGAUGUUCUAACGUUGGCCCCUUACCGGGGUUGCGGACAGUGUCUGGUGGGUAGUUUGACUGGGGCGGUCUCCUCCCAAAGCGUAACGGAGGAGCACGAAGGUUAGCUAAUCCUGGUCGGACAUCAGGAGGUUAGUGCAAUGGCAUAAGCUAGCUUGACUGCGAGCGUGACGGCGCGAGCAGGUGCGAAAGCAGGUCAUAGUGAUCCGGUGGUUCUGAAUGGAAGGGCCAUCGCUCAACGGAUAAAAGGUACUCCGGGGAUAACAGGCUGAUACCGCCCAAGAGUUCAUAUCGACGGCGGUGUUUGGCACCUCGAUGUCGGCUCAUCACAUCCUGGGGCUGAAGUAGGUCCCAAGGGUAUGGCUGUUCGCCAUUUAAAGUGGUACGCGAGCUGGGUUUAGAACGUCGUGAGACAGUUCGGUCCCUAUCUGCCGUGGGCGCUGGAGAAUUGAGGGGGGCUGCUCCUAGUACGAGAGGACCGGAGUGGACGCAUCACUGGUGUUCGGGUUGUCAUGCCAAUGGCACUGCCCGGUAGCUAAAUGCGGAAGAGAUAAGUGCUGAAAGCAUCUAAGCACGAAACUUGCCCCGAGAUGAGUUCUCCCUGAGACUUUAAGUCUCCUGAAGGAACGUUAAAGACGAUGACGUUGAUAGGCCGGGUGUGUAAGCGCAGCGAUGCGUUGAGCUAACCGGUACUAAUGAACCGUGAGGCUUAACCUUACAACGCCGAAG